GCACUGCUGAGGAGUGCCAUACUAGCACGAAACGGUCGUCCAGUGC
Molecule: non-coding RNA, 46 nt
Filed under: Schistosoma mattheei
Lineage: Eukaryota; Metazoa; Platyhelminthes; Trematoda; Strigeidida; Schistosomatidae
Source: RNAcentral